Molecule: ribosomal RNA, 537 nt
Filed under: uncultured bacterium
Lineage: Bacteria
Description: bacterial SSU rRNA
Rfam family: Bacterial small subunit ribosomal RNA
Source: RNAcentral
ACGGGUGAGUAACGCGUGGGAAUCUACCCAACUCUACGGAAUAACUCAGGGAAACUUGUGCUAAUACCGUAUACGCCCUUCGGGGGAAAGAUUUAUCGGAGUUGGAUGAGCCCGCGUUGGAUUAGCUAGUUGGUGGGGUAAAGGCCUACCAAGGCGACGAUCCAUAGCUGGUCUGAGAGGAUGAUCAGCCACAUUGGGACUGAGACACGGCCCAAACUCCUACGGGAGGCAGCAGUGGGGAAUAUUGGACAAUGGGCGCAAGCCUGAUCCAGCCAUGCCGCGUGUGUGAUGAAGGCCUUAGGGUUGUAAAGCACUUUCACCGGAGAAGAUAAUGACGGUAUCCGGAGAAGAAGCCCCGGCUAACUUCGUGCCAGCAGCCGCGGUAAUACGAAGGGGGCUAGCGUUGUUCGGAAUUACUGGGCGUAAAGCGCACGUAGGCGGAUCGAUCAGUCAGGGGUGAAAUCCCAGAGCUCAACUCUGGAACUGCCUUUGAUACUGUCGGUCUAGAGUAUGGAAGAGGUGAGUGGAAUUCCGAGU